Long non-coding RNA from Solanum stenotomum, 174 nucleotides. RefSeq lists it as uncharacterized. Lineage: Eukaryota; Viridiplantae; Streptophyta; Magnoliopsida; Solanales; Solanaceae. The transcript has 2 exons. The record is from RefSeq and is a predicted model, not a curated record.
AAAAAAAUUAUUUCUUCACUUCCUCGUAUUCAGCCUCAGGUGGUGGUGAUUGAUCUCCUCCUUGUGAACCACUGGACGCACCACCAGAACCGCCGCCGGUCAUGUGCUCUCCAAUCUUGGAAACAGCUUUGUUUGCUGCAUCAAGUUUCGACUUGAUAUCAUCAAUGUUUUCAG